AUGGCAGAGGAGCCCCCGCCGGGGAGUAGGCCGAAGCCGCCGAUGUCGCGCAUCAUGCGUCUCUCCCUCAGGGCCGUCGACUACGUCGCCGACGCCACCCGCCGCGCCGACGGCACCGUGAACCGCCGCGUGCUCUCCCUCCUAGACCCGCGCGUCCCGGCCUUCUCCUCCCCGUGCCGCGGCGUCGCCUCACGCGACGUCGUCAUCGACCCGACCCUCCGCGUUCGCGCCCGCCUCUUCCACCCAGCGAGACCCGGCGACGCCAAGGGAGCGCCUCUCCCCGUGAUCGUGUUCUUCCACGGCGGUGGGUUCGCGUUCCUCUCCGCGGCGUCACUGGCCUACGACGCCGCGUGCCGACGCAUCGCGAGGUACGCCUCCGCGGCCGUGCUCUCCGUCGACUACCGCCGCGCCCCGGAGCACCGGUUCCCCGCGCCCUACGACGACGGCCUCGCCGCGCUCCGCUUCCUCGACGACCCGAAUAACCACCCGGCGGACGCCCCGCUCGCGACCUCCCGCUGCUUCCUCGCCGGGGACAGCGCGGGCGGCAACAUCGCGCACCACGUCGCCAGGCGCUACGCCGCGGACGUGCCUGCGUUCAAGAACGUCCGUCUCGCCGGCGUCAUCGCCAUCCAGCCCUUCUUCGGCGGCGAGGAGCGCACGCCCUCCGAGCUCCGCCUUGACGGGGCGCAGAUCGUGUCCGUCUCCCGCACCGACUGGAUGUGGCGCGCGUUCCUCCCGGACGGCGCUGACCGCACUCACGAGGCUGCGUGCUUCACCUCCCCUGGGGCAGCCGCUGGCAUGGACAGCCCGGCGUUCCCGCCGGUGCUGCUCGUCAUCGGCGGUUAUGACCCGCUGCAGGACUGGCAGAGGCGGUACUGCGAGGUGCUGAAGGACAGCGGCAAGGACGUGAGGGUGUUGGAGUACCCGGACGGCAUUCACGCGUUCUUCCUCUUCCCUGGGUUCGACGACGCGCGCAACCUCAUGACACGCAUCGCCGAGUUCGUCGGCGAGAGCGACGAUGAUGGCGGCAGCGAGUAA
RNAcentral lists this ribosomal RNA (1038 nucleotides) under Triticum aestivum (bread wheat). RNAcentral describes it as "partial small subunit ribosomal RNA". Lineage: Eukaryota; Viridiplantae; Streptophyta; Magnoliopsida; Poales; Poaceae. The record is from RNAcentral.